Molecule: ribosomal RNA, 253 nt
Filed under: uncultured bacterium
Lineage: Bacteria
Description: partial 16S ribosomal RNA
Rfam family: Bacterial small subunit ribosomal RNA
Source: RNAcentral
UACGUAGGCAGCAAGCGUUGUUCGGAAUUACUGGGCGUAAAGAGUGUGUAGGCGGUGCUCUAAGUUCGGUGUGAAAUCUCCCGGCUUAACUGGGAGGGUGCGCCGGAAACUGGAGUGCUUGAGCGCGGGAGAGGAAAGCGGAAUUCCUGGUGUAGCGGUGAAAUGCGCAGAUAUCAGGAGGAACACCAAUGGCGAAGGCAGCUCGCUGGGACGGUACUGACGCUGAGGCGCGAAAGCGUGGGGAGCAAACAGG